Mustela erminea (ermine) is the source of this 824-nucleotide long non-coding RNA. RefSeq lists it as uncharacterized. The transcript has 3 exons. The record is from RefSeq and is a predicted model, not a curated record. Lineage: Eukaryota; Metazoa; Chordata; Mammalia; Carnivora; Mustelidae.
CUGCACUCAGGGAGGGGAGUGUUUACAUGUCACACACAGUCACAGCAUGAAGAGACCAUUUAAGGCAAACAUUUGAGAUAAACUUGCAAUAUGAAGACUUUCACAAAGGAGCAUCCUUUUGGGAAUUUCUGCCCCAGGAGAGAUCCAAGGAAGAGAGUUCUGAAUAUGAGGACCAUUGGUCCAUCUGUCAGCUCUACUGAGAUUUCAUCUAAGGAAGUAAUGUGACUUUUCACAUAAGUUUCAGAAACCAUCCUCCAUUCCAUUCUUUCCACUUAAUUCAGAAAAACUAAGAUCCAACACCAAAACAAAGAAGUGCCAAGAAAACACAUCCAGGCUACUGACCUACUUCAUCUGCCAGCAAAAAUUCCAGGAAAUUUGACAGCUGGCUCACAAGCCGGGAUGAGGCAGCUCUGGGACAUGACUGAACACACCCAACAGGAAGAAGAUGAACAAUGGGAAAAAAGGGAGAGACCUUUUGGAAACGAAUAAGGGAGGGUGGUGUGAAUGCCCAGUGAGCCGUAAGAGGGAAGAAAGAGGCAGGUAAAAUAAGAUAUCGAAUAGCUGAUUGAGGAUUUUGAGGAAAUUCUCUCCAAACCUCAAACUGAGCCAACAUUUGGAAAUGCCUUUGCCACUUUCGACCCUUAAUCAAAGCUAUUGCCUUGGAUACUGGCUAAACUGGGAAGUUCAGGGAAAAAAAUCUGCCAAGCAGAUUUCAAACACUGGCAGUGGGAUCGACUUUGGGUGUGUGUGUAUUGGGGGUGAGGAGCAUGAAUCUGUUUUUCCCCACAGAGGAUGUUUUAUCUUGGUCUCAUUUCUUUCCAUAA